AAGAGGUGUAUGAACAAUUAGACCUGCUAACUCAAAUAACUGAUGAGAAAAUCCUCAGACCUCUUA
This 66-nucleotide transfer RNA is filed under the name Atlantolacerta andreanskyi. Its description in RNAcentral is "tRNA-Ser". Lineage: Eukaryota; Metazoa; Chordata; Lepidosauria; Squamata; Lacertidae. The record is from RNAcentral.